This is a long non-coding RNA of Lepus europaeus (European hare), 2301 nucleotides long. RefSeq lists it as uncharacterized. Lineage: Eukaryota; Metazoa; Chordata; Mammalia; Lagomorpha; Leporidae. The record is from RefSeq and is a predicted model, not a curated record. The transcript has 3 exons.
CGGCUGCCCAAACUGGGGCAGGGCAGGGCACGGGCAGGACAACCCCUUCAUCCGGAUCGGAUCCGGGAGAAAAGCAAACACCGGUGGGAUUACCCAGCAUGCUUAGAGACAAAAGAAGCAGUAGAAGCCGAACUCUGGAGAUGUGCAGCCGGCGGGAUCUGGUCACUGGCUGCGAGGAUUAGGAGACAGAGCGUGCAUCUUCAUGGUGUAGCCUGUUGGUCUGCUGGGCUGACACAACCACAGGCAUAAACCAUGACUGUUACUGUCUCAGUUCUGGAGGCUACAGUCAUCCAAGGUCAAGGUGUCCGCGGGGCUGGCUCCCUCUGGGGACAGCGAGAAAGAAUCUGUUCCAUGCCUCUCCCCUUCCUUCUGGGGGUUCACAGCAUUUUGCAGCUCAGCUUGUGACUUUCGAAUCAAGAUGGAGCCUCUCUCCCUGUCUUGAACUGCGGUUGCUGGAACAGCAUCACUUGACCAAUAGAGCAAGGUGGAAAUGAUGCUGUGCCCACUUCUGAUGUGGCCCUGGACUGUGGCUUUCCCUGCCUCAUUGGAAGGUUUGCUUGUGGGAGGUGCCUGCUCUGAGUCUAGACACCAGGCUGUGCACAGCCCAAGCAACACAGAGUGGCUAUACGGAGCUGUUUCCAUCAGCAGCCUCGGGAGAACUUCAGCCAACAGUCAGCAUCAACUGCAGCAUCAGCUGUCCCUUGUACACCCAUCCCACUCCAGCUUUUGGGUAACUACAUCUCAGCCAGCAUCUGAACAUAACUUCAUGACAGAUCCCCAAGGGAGCAAGCACAGGCCACAAGAAGCAGUAAGACAUUGUCGUUUCAAGCCAUUAAGUUCGGAGAUGGCCUAUCACAGAGCAAUAGCUAACUGGAACUUUCCUGACUAGGGAUGUGCUAUGGCUGGUGCUGAAACUACUGAACAGGAAAACCACCUGCUAAAGUAAGGAACUCCCGGGACAACUGGUCCCCAAACUGGGGACCCCUGCUCUGCGAUGAACCACACACAAAAUGGAUGUCUACAUUUGCCUCUCUGCUCCCCCUCCAAAAAAAAAAAAAAAAAAAGACUCGUGAAAAUGCCUAUGAUUGGUCAACUGGAUCAUCUAUGAGAUCCUAGCUACAAGGAAGUCUGGGAAAUGUAGUUUCUUUAAAAAGCUGUCCAGUCUGUAAGAUAAAAGUAUAUUGAAAUGGAUAUUGAAUAAAGCGGUCCUCAGCCAUCUGUUCUAAUUCCUCAAUGACCAAGCAAUCUCAAGACACAAGAAAAUGUUUUAAAAAUAUAUUCUGCAUGAUUCAAACUCUUCAUCCAAAACAUGUGUUGCAUUCAUUACUCUGUACAUCACACUCAAUUAUUUUACUAUUUAAUUGUGUAUUUCUCUGUUCUGAGAGUUCUUUGAUCUUUAUUAUGUUUUUUAGCAACUACAAAAAACAGUUGAAGCAAGCAUGAUAACCCUUUGGUGAUUGGUUACUUCUUUAUUUUUAGAGAGAUCAUUUUUUUAAAAAAAAAUUUAUUUAUGUUAAAGUCAGAGUUAGAGAAAGGCAAAGGCAGAGAAAGAGAGGUUUUCCAUCCGCUGGUUCACUCCCCAAAUGGCCACAACGGCCAGAGCUGCACUGAUCCAAAGCCAGGAGCUUCUUCCAGGUCUUUCAUGCAGGUGCAGGGACCCAAGGACUUAGACCAUCUUUUACUGCCUUCCCAGAACAUGGCAGAGAGCAGUAUUGGAAGAGGAGCAGCUGAGACCUGAAUCGGCACCCCUAUAGGAUGCUGGCACUGCAGGCGGCAGCUUUACCCACUACACCACAGCGCCAGCAUCCACUGAUUACAUUUUAACUAAAAGGAUACCGAUGUCUUUGUAGGUUGGACUCAUUGUACACAAAAAAUAGAAUAGUCUGCAGUUUUAGAAUAUGGAUAAAAUUUUCUUUUAUAAAUUCAGUGUAUGUUAAGGGGUUUGUUAUUAAGGUAAAAACUCACCUAAAAUUCACCAUUUUAACUAUGUUAAAGUAAACGAUUCAGUGGCAUUUCGUACAUUCACUGUGUGGUACAAAUGCCACUCUCAUAUCUGAAACAUUUUCAUCACCACAAACAGAAACCCUGUAUCCAUGAAGAGGCCCCUUUCGCCUCCCCUCUGACCCCAGCCCCUGGCAAUCAUUAAUUUGCUUUCUGUCAUGACCUACUCUGGAUAUUUCAUAUAAAUGGAACUAUACAGCAUGUGACCAUUCGUGUGUCUUCUUUUCCAUAGCAUAACACAGUCAAGGUUCACCUGUGUACACGUAUCAGUACUGCCUUCCUUUUUACAGUGGAACGAUA